AUGUCCAGUAUUAAUAUAACGUUCCUGGGUUCGGUUCGGUCCAUACAUCCUGGAUUGAAACGCGGCUCGGGUUACACUCCCGUCCUGAAGAACAGAAACGAUCAUUCUUCCUCACACUGUUCCUUAUCUUCAGUCAAGAAAACCGUGUUGUGUCCUCAUGAGCACUCCCCCAGCCCCAGGGAUAUAUUACAAGAGUUUAGUGGUUUAGCUCAGGUCAGGAACAGCAUAGUGAGGUAUAUGUGGACAGGGGAGACAGGACGAGAGAGAAGAGAAGAGAGAGAACAGGAUAGGACAGGAGAGAGGACAGGGAGAGGACAGGGAGAGGAGAGGACAAGGAGAGGACAGGAGAGAGGACAGAGGAGAGGGAGAGGACAGGGAGAGGAGAGAGGACAGGGAGAGGAGAGAGGACAGGGAGAGGAGAGAGGACAGAGGACAGGGAGAGAGGACAGAGGACAGGGAGAGAGGACAGAGGACAGGGAGAGGAGAGAGGACAGGGAGAGGACAGGGAGAGGACAGGGAGAGGAGAGAGGACAGGGAGAGGAGAGAGGACAGGGAGAGGAGAGAGGACAGGGAGAGGAGAGAGGACAGGGAGAGGAGAGAGGACAGGGAGAGGAGAGAGGACAGGGAGAGGAGAGAGGACAGGGAGAGGAGAGAGGACAGGGAGAGGAGAGAGGACAGGGAGAGGAGAGAGGACAGGGAGAGGAGAGAGGACAGGGAGAGGAGAGAGGACAGGGAGAGGAGAGAGGACAGGGAGAGGGAGAGGACAGGGAGAGGACAGGGAGAGGAGAGAGGACAGGGAGAGGACAGGGAGAGGAGAGAGGACAGGGAGAAGAGAGAGGACAGGGAGAGAGAGAGGACAGGGAGAGGACAGGGAGAGGAGAGAGGAGAGAGGACAGGGAGAGGAGAGAGGACAGGGAGAGGAGAGAGGACAGGGAGAGGAGAGAGGACAGGGAGAGGGAGAGGACAGGGAGAGGAGAGAGGACAGGGAGAGGAGAGAGGACAGGGAGAGGAGAGAGGACAGGGAGAGGGAGAGGACAGGGAGAGGAGAGAGGAGAGAGGACAGGGAGAGGAGAGAGGAGAGAGGACAGGGAGAGGAGAGAGGACAGGGAGAGAGGACAGUGA
This 1122-nucleotide long non-coding RNA is filed under the name Oncorhynchus mykiss (rainbow trout). RNAcentral's name for it is "lncRNA (ENSOMYG00000061297.1)". Lineage: Eukaryota; Metazoa; Chordata; Actinopteri; Salmoniformes; Salmonidae. The record is from RNAcentral.